GAAUGUGACGAAAGAAAAAAAAGUCAAGCGGAUGUCUUUCAAAAAGCUGUUUUGUUCUUGCAUGUGCGUGCAUAAUUUAGAGGUGAGUGGAGCUGGAAUGGACAAGCUUUGCUAAUCACUACACAACACACUGUACAGCUACAAUCAGGGUCACAAGUUCAGCUCAGCAAACGGGUCAAAGGUUACCAGCAGGUCAAAUACAAAACUCCCACAAGGCGGUAUCCAAGUCAAACAUCAAAUGGACAGUAGAUCAUUCUGAAAACCCAAUCGCCCAAGCCGACCUUGUCGAUGUGCAGCUUUCGUCAAACUCCACAACUCAUGCUGUCCAGAGACCAAGCACUCUGCAAAUUGUUUUUUAGACACUGCCACCCAGCUCCCAAGCUGCUCGGCAAUUGCACCAAGUUGUUCAAAGACGAGCUGUAGUCUCUACAAAGGUCACUGAUGGUCAGUCUCCCUCUACAAAUGCAGCAGAUACAGGUAGUUCUGCAACAGCAGCAACUGCCGCAACAAGUUGUGCGUGACACACCAUACUGUGCGAGCUCGUAAUCAAGGCUGAGGAUUCCUUGUGUUACCACAGUUUAGGCAGCGAGGAGUGUCAUUGCCUCAAGUGCUAUGUCGGGAGGUGUCAAGGAUGUCAAGUCCUUCCACAAAGACUGUUGUAGUGCCCUUGCCAUUUGGAAAGGCACCCAAUAUUGCUAAGAUGAUCAGGGAUUCAAGUUUGUCAGACAACUGUAGACAGUGUGUCUCCAAGUGGAUCCAAGAGCUAGAGCGGAUGAGCAUAAGGCAUGCCUCGCCUGUAUUGCUUCCUUCCAUCAGCAACACUGCAGUACCAAUCUGGUGUACGGCCAUGACCUCUUCACAGCUGGGUCUCUCUACCAUGCCUCUUAACCCUAAAAAGACUGGGGGUCUCCUAUAAUUUCCAUUUGAAAAAAAAAGCAAAAAAAAAAAGGUUGCGAAACAAAGCAAUAAAUGAGAAAUUUUAGACACAUUCAAAGUUAUAAAGGAAACUUUUUGGUACUUAUUCAAUUCAGAUUCCACAAAGAGACCCUUUCCAAAAAGAAAUUAGCACAUGAAGGCUUUUUUAAAAAUAGAUUUACAGCCACAUUCUAAUUCUGUGCAUUCUGUAAGUUUAAUAGUAUGAUUGAAAAUAAGUGUGAAUUAUUUUGGAACAAAUGAAAUAUACAAUUUUGUAGAUUACGUCAUGAGUGACGUGUAUGAUGAUUCUCUUUUAAAAUCACUUCAAAACAGCAAAGAUAUUUAGGGGGCGUUUAGCCCUCGCUGCCGUCUUUCCAAAAAUACCCCAGUCUUAUUAGAGUUAACCUGUUGGUAAGAGAAGACCCUUCAGUAAUGGAUUGAGUAGCAUCUACUGCUAUCGCUGGCUGGUUGGAGAUGCCCUGAGGAGAGUGGAGAUAGCCUACAAGGAGACCAGGAAUCUUGGGAACAUCCUUUACACCUUUGACGACUACCUUAAGGAACUGCUUCAGAUCAUCCAGAGGUACAUGUAUGUAGAAUAAGGUUAUUACGAGGGAUGUUAAAUGGCGGUAGGAUAAAUCAUCCCACACAUUGCCAUGGGACUUUAAGGGGGACGAAACCAAUGCGGUCUUAUCAUUUUCUUUGUCAAUGGGGAAAUUAGUGCUUGGCAGGCGGGUGCCUGUCUUACAUUUUGAGUGGUGGACGGUUUCAACGAGCACUACCACUGAAGUGGCAACACUUAAUUUUUUCUCGCCUGCAUAGCAGAGUGAGACUAUAGGCACAUCUUUUCCUAAGGUGCCAGAAUUGGCCUCAACAUUGAAAACCAAGGUUAAGUUUUUCGAAAUGUCAUCAUAACUUUAAAAGUAU
RNAcentral lists this long non-coding RNA (1839 nucleotides) under Lytechinus variegatus (green sea urchin). Its description in RNAcentral is "uncharacterized LOC121423088". Lineage: Eukaryota; Metazoa; Echinodermata; Echinoidea; Temnopleuroida; Toxopneustidae. The record is from RNAcentral.